This 1402-nucleotide ribosomal RNA is filed under the name Bacillus sp. AMY_14.1.1. RNAcentral's name for it is "bacterial SSU rRNA". It matches the Rfam family "Bacterial small subunit ribosomal RNA". The record is from RNAcentral. Lineage: Bacteria; Bacillati; Bacillota; Bacilli; Caryophanales; Bacillaceae.
AGUCGAGCGUAACAGAAGGGAGCUUGCUCCCGGAUGUUAGCGGCGGACGGGUGAGUAACACGUGGGUAACCUGCCUGUAAGACUGGGAUAACUCCGGGAAACCGGAGCUAAUACCGGAUAGUUCCUUGAACCGCAUGGUUCAAGGAUGAAAGACGGUUUCGGCUGUCACUUACAGAUGGACCCGCGGCGCAUUAUCUAGUUGGUGGGGUAAUGGCUCACCAAGGUUACUAUGCGUAGCCGACCUGANAGGGUGAUCGGCCACACUGGGACUGANACACGGCCCAUACUCCUACGGGAGGCAGCAGUAGGGAAUCUUCCGCAAUGGACUAAAGUCUGACGGAGCAACGCCGCGUGAGUGAUGAAGGUUUUCGGAUCUGAAAGCUCUGUUGUUAGGGAAGAACAAGUGCGAGAGUAACUGCUCGCACCUUGUACGGUACCUAACCAGAAAGCCACGGCUAACUACGUGCCAGCAGCCGCGGUAAUACGUAGGUGGCAAGCGUUGUCCGGAAUUAUUGGGCGUAAAGGGCUCGCAGGCGGUUUCUUAAGUCUGAUGUGAAAGCCCCCGGCUCAACCGGGGAGGGUCAUUGGAAACUGGGAAACUUGAGUGCAGAAGAGGAGAGUGGAAUUCCACGUGUAGCGGUGAAAUGCGUAGAGAUGUGGAGGAACACCAGUGGCGAAGGCGACUCUCUGGUCUGUAACUGACGCUGAGGAGCGAAAGCGUGGGGAGCGAACAGGAUUAGAUACCCUGGUAGUCCACGCCGUAAACGAUGAGUGCUAAGUGUUAGGGGGUUUCCGCCCCUUAGUGCUGCAGCUAACGCAUUAAGCACUCCGCCUGGGGAGUACGGUCGCAAGACUGAAACUCAAAGGAAUUGACGGGGGCCCGCACAAGCGGUGGAGCAUGUGGUUUAAUUCGAAGCAACGCGAAGAACCUUACCAGGUCUUGACAUCCUCUGACAACCCUAGAGAUAGGGCUUUCCCUUCGGGGACAGAGUGACAGGUGGUGCAUGGUUGUCGUCAGCUCGUGUCGUGAGAUGUUGGGUUAAGUCCCGCAACGAGCGCAACCCUUGAUCUUAGUUGCCAGCAUUUAGUUGGGCACUCUAAGGUGACUGCCGGUGACAAACCGGAGGAAGGUGGGGAUGACGUCAAAUCAUCAUGCCCCUUAUGACCUGGGCUACACACGUGCUACAAUGGACAGAACAAAGGGCUGCGAGACCGCAAGGUUUAGCCAAUCCCAUAAAUCUGUUCUCAGUUCGGAUCGCAGUCUGCAACUCGACUGCGUGAAGCUGGAAUCGCUAGUAAUCGCGGAUCAGCAUGCCGCGGUGAAUACGUUCCCGGGCCUUGUACACACCGCCCGUCACACCACGAGAGUUUGCAACACCCGAAGUCGGUGAGGUAACCUUUA